UACGGAGGGUGCAAGCGUUAUCCGGAUUCACUGGGUCUAAAGGGUGCGUAGGUGGGCUGGUAAGUCAGUGGUGAAAUCUCCAGGCUUAACUUGGAAACUGCCAUUGAUACUAUCAGUCUUGAAUACCGUGGAGGUCAGCGGAAUAUGUCAUGUAGCGGUGAAAUGCUUAGAUAUGACAUAGAACACCAAUUGCGAAGGCAGCUGGCUACGCGAAUAUUGACACUGAUGCACGAAAGCGUGGGGAGCAAACAGG
Molecule: ribosomal RNA, 253 nt
Filed under: uncultured bacterium
Lineage: Bacteria
Description: partial 16S ribosomal RNA
Rfam family: Bacterial small subunit ribosomal RNA
Source: RNAcentral